GAAGCUCAAGAUCAGCUGGCGAUGCCCGUGUGCUUGAAGUGAGCCCCAUGAAGAUGUGGUUAUGAGAAGUUUGAAGUAAAAACCUUGUGGCUUUUGCCACUCCCACACGUUCAAAAAAAUCCAUCGGGUUUGUUUCAUGCUGAGAAAACUGUUCGAUGGAUAUAUCAAAAGUGCCCCACUGAGUAUACUUCUUUGGCUCAACUACUUACUGAUCUCUCAGACCCAAGGAGUUUCAGAACUGUCAUUUCAGGGUAGCUGGCGAGGUCGUGAAUCCGUUCCAAGGACAAAAACCGACAUCGAUCUCUUGCUUACAGAGGGCUGAUUUGACCAGCUGGCAAAAUAACAAAAACAAAUCCUAAAGUACAGCGAAAGGCUAUCAGACAUUCAAUUACCACGGAAGAACAACAGCUGGACUGCAUACAGAGAGACAGAGAGAGAGAGAGAGAGAGGAGAGAGCGAAUGAAAGAAAGAAAAAGCAACAACAACCCGUGAGUGGCACAAUCCUGCAAAACACAAUUGUCAGGUCUCCCAUCACCCCAUUUCAGCGGCCUCCUGGGGGCAUGGCUCAAAUUUCUGGUCUUCUGUGGCAUUAAUACAGGCAUA
Long non-coding RNA from Silurus meridionalis, 603 nucleotides. RefSeq lists it as uncharacterized. NCBI's taxonomy places the organism in Eukaryota, Metazoa, Chordata, Actinopteri, Siluriformes, Siluridae. The transcript is spliced from 3 exons. The record is from RefSeq and is a predicted model, not a curated record.